This is a non-coding RNA of Heterocephalus glaber (naked mole-rat), 474 nucleotides long. NCBI's taxonomy places the organism in Eukaryota, Metazoa, Chordata, Mammalia, Rodentia, Bathyergidae. The record is from RefSeq and is a predicted model, not a curated record.
AGUUUUUACAUUUUUUAUUGUGGUGAAAUAUACAUAAUAUGAAGUUUACCACUUUAACCAUUUUUAAGUAUACAACUCAGUGUUUUUGUUUUGUUUUGUUUUUAGAUAGUCUCCCUAUGGAACCCAGGCUGGCCUCAAAUUCACCUCAACCCUCGUGCUACAGUCUCCUGAAUGCUGGGAUUACAAGAGGUUUUGGUGGUUUUGGAGAUUGAACCUCAAACAUGCUGGGUAUCCAAGGGUCUGAUCUGCCCCAAGCAGUCAACCUGAAAAUCUGACUUGAAAAAAACCUGCAGGAAGCGAAGACCAUGGAAAGCGCAGAGUCAGGGCUCUUCUGGCCUCACAGCUGAGCCCCGUGCAGAAGGCCCCUCUACCCUCAGCCCAGAGAGCCGGCCCUGGCCCCCCGCUGCUCACCGAGGAGGUGGAGGGGCGUCAAGGGGCGAGAAAGGACAUCCCGAAAGCUCUCCAGCCAUUCCC